RNAcentral lists this ribosomal RNA (205 nucleotides) under uncultured bacterium. RNAcentral's name for it is "partial 16S ribosomal RNA". It matches the Rfam family "Bacterial small subunit ribosomal RNA", at positions 568 to 774 of the family's 1533-position model. The record is from RNAcentral.
CGCGUAGGUGGCCUGUUAAGUCGAACGUGAAAUCCCUGGGCUCAACCCGGGAACUGCGUCCGAGACUGGCAGGCUCGAAUCCGGGAGAGGGAUGUGGAAUUCCAGGUGUAGCGGUGAAAUGCGUAGAUAUCUGGAGGAACACCGGUGGCGAAGGCGGCAUCCUGGACCGGUAUCGACGCUGAGGCGCGAAGCCAGGGGAUAAACG